CAGAGGGCAGGUGGGGGGAGGCUGGGGACCUUCCUGUGGGGGCACAAAUCUUGUCCUGUCACUGGAGGAUGCACACAGCUCAUGGAGACCACGUCAACCACCGGCCUAAGGAAAGCAGCGGGAAAGCUAAAGUGUGACGCGGCUUAAGCAGCUUGUCUGAGUUUGCACAGCUGGCAAAUGGCUGAGCCAUGACUCACACCCAGGUCCAUCCACCGCCAAAGCUCCAGAUCUCUGGCAUCCUUCUAAGGUCAGAAAGGGAAAGAAAUCCCUAAUAAGGAGCCUGUGUGACGGCGUGCCCCCCUCCACUUUCCCACCCCUGCCAAGGACCCGUUUGAAGGCUGUUCACGCCAGUCACUGCAAUCACCAUUGAGCACAGAGAUGACAGUUCCAGCAAGCACUGACCUUCCAGCCCACUCUGCGGAGGAGAAGACUGAGGGGCAGAGAGGCUGUUGAUUUGCUGCAGUUGACUCUGACCCUAAUUUCCCGGCGCUGACUCAAACUCAUCAGGAACACUGCUUUCACUGAGUGUAUGAAGUGGUUUCUCCAUCCGUGUGGCUUUACCUGAACUCACACCGGUCCCACGGCCCAGGUGUGGAGCCGAGCACUCCCCUCUGCCUCCUCCCUGGACUGCAGGACCUGUGUCUCGCUUUAUGAAAGAGAUGCCAUUUGGGGAAGACUCGCAUUGUCGGGAGCGCUGUGGACGCUCCAGAAGGAGAUCAACACGAUGAUGACGAUGCCGGGUGGAGGGAAUGUGCACUUCUCGGGAGCCAGAAAAGAAUAAUCUGAAUGUCUCCAGCAUCAAGAAAAGACCAGUAUUGAAGGAGGAGCCAAAAGCAUUUUGCUGACCUCGGUGCAGAUCAACCCUGCAACAAGGUGCAGAAGAGGCACCAAAGGGGCUUUGUAGCCAGCAACAUGCCAGAUCCAUGCACCUUGUUGAUGCAGCCGACUCUGCAGGGGUGCAGGAGGUGAGGACUCACACAGGGGUGCGGGAGGUGAGGACCCACGCAGGGGCGCAGGAGGUGAGGACCCAC
This 1031-nucleotide long non-coding RNA is filed under the name Homo sapiens (human). RNAcentral describes it as "HSALNT0289908". The record is from RNAcentral. Lineage: Eukaryota; Metazoa; Chordata; Mammalia; Primates; Hominidae.